Long non-coding RNA from Oncorhynchus tshawytscha (Chinook salmon), 763 nucleotides. The record is from Ensembl. NCBI's taxonomy places the organism in Eukaryota, Metazoa, Chordata, Actinopteri, Salmoniformes, Salmonidae.
CGACUCCAGUGAAGCGUUUUGUGUGACGCGUGGCACCAACUGCGCCUCAGCGUCCCAAUUAUACUUUUCGGCGGGGAGUAGAGCGUAUAGGAUGCUGUGACAAGGAGCUUGGAUGGAGGGACACCACAAUAUAAAAGCGACAGUACCAACACUCAUUUUUAUUAGUCCUUUAUAGCGCGAUAGGCUUGUCUCUCGAAGUGCGCCCUCGUCAUCAGUAGGCUGUUUGUAAACACAGUGUGCAUGUGUUGCGAUAAACAUCAUGGCCUAAGGACACCUCAUCCCGCAACUGAGGCUGGAGGAGUCGACUGAGGAAGAGCAGAUAUCAUUGUGCCUUGUGUAUAAAAAUGUAAGAUAAGCAGGGAUCCAACCCCCCUUGAGGUUGUUGAAAGGGCAACCAAGGAAGUGAGAGAAAGAAAGAAGUCCAUUCGAACAGCAGCAAGGGAUGAAACAUUUAAUGAAUGACUAUGAAGAGGACACCAUCCAACUGGAAGGACGUCUUUGAAUGGAUUUACCCCAAGGCGGCUCAACUUACCCUGUCCCUAUGCUCAACUUAUCCCAUACCUGGUGUAUGCUGUGCAAAGAGACCACUUUUCUGUACAAGCUAUGUUUUCAAAACUGUUAGACGUUUAUGAAUUCUGAUUAUUUCCAGCGAUACACAAACAUCCUAAAAUAUGUAGAUAUCUUUGUUAGACUAUAUUUCCCUUGACGUAGUGAUGCUGAAUGUAAUAAAUGGCUCAACAUACCCCACUCUCCCCUAUAUGUU